CUUUGGGGCCCCGACUGAAGGUUGGUGGGUGUCUCCUUACAGACCCACGGCCUUAUUGAUUGUCUCCUGCCUGAGUUCCCUCCCCAUCCAGGCUGGAACUGUUCCCCUCCAAAUGACAAAUGGAUCUGCCAGCCUCUGGCUUAUUUUAAUUGCCAUUUUUCCCUUCUCCUGGUGACAAAAAGACGUGAUGAAUCCAUGCUGGAGCACCCCAGACAGGAUGUGCUGGGGGCUUGGUGGGGGCAUUGCCCACCCCUAUGUAUGGAAAAACUGCUCCUUGAUCCCCCCAGUGUGGGGAAACUGAGGCACUGGAGCAGGUUAGGAGGAGAUGGGAAAUGAUCUGCAGGUGAAUGGGAGGAGAAACCAGUUUUGGGCUGCCUGUGCAUUGUAGGGGAUGAGAAGGGCAGACAACAGGAAAAAUCCUGGAGUUUUGUGGUGAGCAUGAAUCCUCAGAGCUGAGGGAUACCAGGUACCUUCUCUGGGUGAAGCAUCUGCCCUGGGGUGAAGCAUCUCAGCACUCCACCUUUUGUACGUGGGAAGGUGUUGGAGAGGAAGGAAGGUGGCAGGAGGAUUUGUCUGUUCUCUUCCAGGGCUGCAGGCAAGGCCCUGGAGGGACAGACACAGGGACAGGGGAGGACGUGCUGCUUGGCAUGGCACGCUCCACUCCCCCCGUGGCUGGAGCCUGUCACAGGGAAGAGCUGCCAGACGUGACACACACCACCCUGAAGGUGCCGCCUCGCUGCUCGCUGCCAGAGCUCCCCGGCAUCCCGCAGCGUGGAUGUUCUCCGGUUUCUGUCCUGCUGGCCAAGGCGAGGGCCGGGCCACUGCGGGGAUCGCUGCCACCGUUCCGAGGGAAGCUGCGCCUCCGUUCCAGUUCGGAGAUCGUGGCAGCGCCGCUCCCCGGAGGGCUCUUGUGGCCUCGCCUAAGUGGAGCUAAUGGAUUUCCAUGUCUCCAACAGGCAGCUGGGAUACGAGCACAUCUCGGCAGCUCGGCUGAAUGCAAAACUGCAAACAGGCAAAUGCCUCCCCAGCAGAGGGGCUCACAGCCUGGAACUGUGGGAUUGGAGAGGGAGCUCUGGGAUCCAUCCAAGGAGCCCACUGCAUCUCCUCCUCCCUCCAUCAGCCCCACCUGCUCCUCUGCGAUCUGCUCCAGCUGGGUUUGGAAAGGAAAACACACAGUUAAACCCCAAGAUGAUAUUUUUUGUUUUGUUGUUAUUAGGAUUUUUUUGUUUUGUUGUUUUUGGGGUUUUUUUUUUCUGUUUUUGGUUUGGUUUUCUUCCCAGGGAACAGCCAAUUUCUGUGGCUCUGCGACACCCAGGUAUCCUGUGGGACGAGCCCAGCUCUGCAGAGGGACCUGGAUGCCCAAGUCCCAGGGACACCAGCUGUAAUUAGAUGUUUAGAUCUAGGCCAGGGGCUCAAGGGCCAUCUGGCACCUGAAUUAUUCAUACACUUUUAUCUAAGCACAGGCAGAGCAGAGCACAGCGCUCCUUCUCCAGCCUGGGCCCAGGGGAAGAUUCCUGCUUGUGCCAGAUCGUUUUUCAUGGCCUGACAAACGUGAUCCUCUCCAGAGCUCCUUCCCAGUGCUGAGAUGCCUUUUCCCAACGCCAAACCUGCUCCAAAACACACCAGAGCUGCCAAACAGAGAUCCGUGCAGAUCCACAGAGAUCCACAGCCCCGGCAGCUGAUGCGGAGGAGGAAAAAUCCAGGAGGAGAAGUCUCCCCUAGGAAGGAGCAGUCCAGGAGUGAAAUCAGAUUAAAUGUCUAUCAGGAGGGCCCGUUCCUGUGGUGAUGUGGCCCAGUGCUCCCCCCCAAGGUGUCUUUUACCCUGUGACUCAUCUGCUGAGGAAUUUUAAUCCCUGUCUUUCUCUCCCAACCCCAGGCACCAUUGGGAAGGGGAGAGGACCUUGGAGACAGAAGUCUCUCUAUCACUUGUUGUUAAAAUGGUGCAUUUCUUCUUCAGCCAUGGAGCUGUGCCAGGUUUUACCAGAUGUAAGUG
This 1993-nucleotide long non-coding RNA is filed under the name Zonotrichia albicollis (white-throated sparrow). RNAcentral describes it as "lncRNA (ENSZALG00000006278.1)". The record is from RNAcentral. Lineage: Eukaryota; Metazoa; Chordata; Aves; Passeriformes; Passerellidae.